RNAcentral lists this ribosomal RNA (564 nucleotides) under Proceroplatus trinidadensis. RNAcentral describes it as "partial 28S ribosomal RNA". It matches the Rfam family "Eukaryotic large subunit ribosomal RNA", at positions 386 to 817 of the family's 3401-position model. Lineage: Eukaryota; Metazoa; Arthropoda; Insecta; Diptera; Keroplatidae. The record is from RNAcentral.
UAAGCCCGAUGAACCUGAAUAUCUGAAUUGAGAAAUUCAAUAUUAUGUUUUAAAUUAUUAAUUUAAUUAAAAACUGGUAUGCACUUUUCUCAUAGUAAGACAUUGCGAUCCAUUAGUAUAUUAUACAUAUGUUUAUCAAACGGCCUGUAUGUAUAGUUUAUUCUAGCUGUGAUGAUUUCUAAUUAUCAUAUGAAUAAAUACAUUGCAGUGACCUGAUAAAUAACUGAUGGAGCUUAAAAAUCAUGCAAACAUGCUCAUAUUUAUGUAUCACGAUUUUUAAAUAUUUAUUUAUUUUUAAAUGCAGUGAUAGCAUGUAUUUGAUUAGCAAUGCGAAUGAUUUGGGAUACCUUCGGGACCCGUCUUGAAACACGGACCAAGAAGUCUAACAUGUGUGCAAGUCAUUGGGUAUUUGUUGAAACCUAAAGGCGCAAUUAAAAUAACUAUUAUGGGAUUACAAGUAAUUUAACAUAUUACUUCUCCAUCCCGGGGCGUUCUAUACGAACAUGGUUUAAGCAAUUAAAUCCUCUGUUCAAGAGCGUACCUUGAGCAUACAUGCUGUGACCC